ACACGUUGUGGAGUUACUUCUUUGCUUUCAUAAACAUGUCUCGGUUUAUUUCUCAUGCAUGUCAUGGUGCAGUCCCUUUAUGAGCAGUGCAGAAUAACAGCAUAAGCCUCACUCCCCAUCUCAGAAAAUUCUGCUUCCAUUCGUUCAGAGCUCUACGUUUCCCCACCAUACGGGAAUUCCCAAGUGUGAAACAAACCUGGAGCCGCCCUGGUGCCCCCUGCACGUUCCCACUGAGGCCUGUGAUGAUGCUGCAGAUGGCAGAGCACAGCCAGGAGUGCCAGCCCAGGCUGUGGCUGGGGCAGAGCAAUCUCUGCACAGCACGAGCCGGGCCAGGAGAGGGGCACAGCACCACAGACAUCCACGGUGGCCACCUCACAGGUUUGUGUGGCCAGCAGCUGUCGGGGGCAGGAGGGGAGGCUGGGCCGAGGUGAACGCGGUGACGCUGCAACAGAGCAUACGAGGAGUGUGCUUUGUGUAGUAUUUAUUUAGGAACCGUGAGUAACUACAGCCGUAGCGGUCUCAUCUUUGCAAUUCUGAUGGUUUAACAAACAGGGAGAAUAUUAGCAUAUUUUUAUUAAGGUACAAAAUACACCCCGUUGUUGCCUAAAACAUAAAAAAAAAAAAAGUGAGGAAAGCUCUGUAUGCUCUAAAUCAGAUUCAAACCCUUUCUGUAUAAGGAGUUGUGGCAAUACUGUGUUUAGUAUAACAAGAGGUUUUCAUCAAUCGAAAAGACAUGCUGGCAAUCUGAACUUAGCAACAAAGAGUAAAGCAGUUACAAACCGUCGUGUCAUCCACAUCAGCUGAGCUCUGAAUGUAGAGGAGCAAAUCCUAUGAAACACAUACACAACUAGGUAAUAUCAAACAACCUAAGGCUGAUAAUGUACACACCUGUAUUAAAGUACACUGACUACUUCAUGGUGAGGAUUUAAGGUCAUGUCUUUU
Long non-coding RNA from Prinia subflava (tawny-flanked prinia), 942 nucleotides. RefSeq lists it as uncharacterized. The transcript is spliced from 2 exons. The record is from RefSeq and is a predicted model, not a curated record. NCBI's taxonomy places the organism in Eukaryota, Metazoa, Chordata, Aves, Passeriformes, Cisticolidae.